CGGGAUUCCCCGAGUAAGGGCGACUGAAACGGGAUCAGCCCAGCGCAUAACCUCGCGGUCCGGACAGGGCCGUCGAGGGGUGUUGCGUAUCGGUGGAUCCGUCCCGCCCGAGAAGUACCGCCUAAGUUAUUUGUUUAAAUACAGCCCCCAAGGAGGGUGAAAGGCCCGUAUGGCGGCGCCCGCAAGGGCUUAUACGACUCGGGCGGAAGGGUCUUAUCACCGGAGAGUCGGGUUGCUUAAUAAUGCAGCCCUAAGAGAGGUGGUAAACUCCAUCUAAGGCUAAAUAUUCCCACGAGUCCGAUAGGAGACAAGUACCGUGAGGGAAAGUUGAAAAGGACUUUGAAGAGAGAGUUCAACAGUACGUGAAACCGUUAGAAGCUUAAACGGGUGGAACCGCGAAGGUCGAACGAGGGCAUUCACCUCGUCGGCGGGGCGGGGCGGGGUUCUGGACGAACGAUGGCGCAAUGUGUAUGCAAAGAAUGCGCAUCAGUCCCCGCCUGUCAGCAGCCUCGCCGGCGGGCGUACUUGUCCCUCUAGUAGCAUCGCCGCGACCCGUUGCGGGGACCAAGGGCCCAGCCCGGAUUGGUACCCGUGGUCAGGAGGGGAAUCCGUUGGCUGAUUGGACAGUGGUUCCCCGCGACGGUCACUCCCAGGGGGCGUACGUAAGUUCGCCUCUCGCGGCGGGAGAAGGAUCGGUGAUCCACCCGACCCGUCUUGAAACACGGACCAAGGAGUCUAACAUGUGCGCGAGUCUAAGGGUCCACUAAACCCGGAGGCGUAAUGAAAGUGAGCAUGACUGAGCAGGCCGAUCCCCGGUGUAGUGCCGGGGCGCAGGCCGAGGACUUGCCGCUCGGCGGCCGUCGGUGGCCUCCCCCGUCGCCGUCAAACGUGGCGGGAGGGGGUUUCGCCGGCGGUCCGCCGGCAAGUACCUUAAGAGCGCACACGUAAGGACCCGAAAGAUGGUGAACUAUGCCUGGCCAGGACGAAGCCAGAGGAAACUCUGGUGGAGGUCCGAACCAGUUCUGACGUGCAAAUCGAUUGUCAGAGCUGGGUAUAGGGGCGAAAGACUAAU
Molecule: ribosomal RNA, 1072 nt
Filed under: Syncaris pacifica
Lineage: Eukaryota; Metazoa; Arthropoda; Malacostraca; Decapoda; Atyidae
Description: eukaryotic LSU rRNA
Rfam family: Eukaryotic large subunit ribosomal RNA
Source: RNAcentral